UAGAAAAUAGUAUAAGGGAAGUACAGAGGGGUUUGAUCUCUCGGGUGCAGGUUCGACUCCUGUUUUUCUAA
This 71-nucleotide transfer RNA is filed under the name Paradoxophyla palmata (web-foot frog). RNAcentral describes it as "tRNA-Gln". It matches the Rfam family "tRNA". Rfam says of the family: Transfer RNA (tRNA) molecules are approximately 80 nucleotides in length. The record is from RNAcentral. Lineage: Eukaryota; Metazoa; Chordata; Amphibia; Anura; Microhylidae.